Molecule: long non-coding RNA, 495 nt
Filed under: Bos taurus (domestic cattle)
Lineage: Eukaryota; Metazoa; Chordata; Mammalia; Artiodactyla; Bovidae
Description: long non-coding RNA NONBTAT018230
Source: RNAcentral
GGGUGCCAGGGGGCCUCAUGAAUACUCAGACAGAGUUGAAUCCUCUGGUACCAGAGGAUAGAAUCACCUGAAGUAGCUACUUAAAAUGCUUUCACAAGAGGUUUUACAAAAUCUAGGAAAUUCUGAUAGAAGCAGGUAGAUUUAAAACUUAUUCCCUGCACACUGGCAAGUUAGUCAAGGCUUCUGGGUGAGUGGGUGGGUAGGGAGAAGGUCGUCUUACUGGAGGGAAUCUGCCUGCUUUAAGCUGAGCUGGAGACCAUCUAUGUUAAAUCACCCUCCGGAGCAGUCCUGGGGCACUGUCCUCCUGCCUUUCAGCUAUGUCUUUCCUGUGUCUACACUGGUGACAGUUGUUGAGGCCAUGACCACAAUGACUGAUCAGUGUUUCACUCCUGGAUCCCAGGAUAAAGGAGGAAAAAACACCCAAGAUUAAAAAAUAGUGAAGCCUCCAUGCUACUAUGGUGCCUGCCUCUCUGUGUCCACUCUAGGAAGACUGCU